This 83-nucleotide transfer RNA is filed under the name Ciona intestinalis (vase tunicate). RNAcentral's name for it is "tRNA-Ser (TGA) (tRNA-Ser-TGA-10-1)". It matches the Rfam family "tRNA". From Rfam's summary of the family: Transfer RNA (tRNA) molecules are approximately 80 nucleotides in length. Lineage: Eukaryota; Metazoa; Chordata; Ascidiacea; Phlebobranchia; Cionidae. The record is from Rfam by way of RNAcentral.
GUCGUCGUGGCCGAGUGGUUAAGGCGACAGACCUGAGAAUGUGUUGGGCUCUGCCCUCACAAGUUCGAAUCCUGUCGGCGACG